Molecule: ribosomal RNA, 646 nt
Filed under: uncultured bacterium
Lineage: Bacteria
Description: bacterial SSU rRNA
Rfam family: Bacterial small subunit ribosomal RNA (bases 1-533)
Source: RNAcentral
CCUACGGGAGGCAGCAGUAGGGAAUAUUGGACAAUGGACGCAAGUCUGAUCCAGCCAUCCCGCGUGAAGGAUUAAGGCCCUAUGGGUUGUAAACUUCCUUUCUUUGGGAAUAAAAAGCGGUAUUCAUAUCGCCUUGAAGGUACCAGAGGAAUAAGCACCGGCUAACUCCGUGCCAGCAGCCGCGGUAAUACGGAGGGUGCAAGCGUUAUCCGGAUUCACUGGGUUUAAAGGGUGCGUAGGUGGCUUUGUAAGUCAGCGGUGAAAGCCUGGAGCUCAACUCCAGAAUCGCCAUUGAUACUGCAGAGCUUGAAUCAAGUUGAGGUGGAUGGAAUAUUACAUGUAGCGGUGAAAUGCUUAGAUAUGUAAUAGAACACCGAUUGCGAAGGCAGUUCACUAAGCUUGUAUUGACACUGAGGCACGAAAAGCGUGGGGAUCAAACAGGAUUAGAUACCCUGGUAGUCCACGCCCUAAACGAUGCAAACUCGACAUUANGAUAUANAUAGUGUCAGAGAAAGAGUUAAGUUUAGUCCACCGCGGUAAGGUAACGACCGACGAAGGUUAGUUAAACGUUAACAAAUUAAGAAGUUAGUACGGGCGUUGAGACGUUGCCGAACGGACGACGACCGAAGGGGAAGGUUAAGGGAGG